RNAcentral lists this ribosomal RNA (393 nucleotides) under uncultured bacterium. Its description in RNAcentral is "partial 16S ribosomal RNA". It matches the Rfam family "Bacterial small subunit ribosomal RNA", at positions 523 to 918 of the family's 1533-position model. The record is from RNAcentral.
AUACGGGGGAUUCAAGCGUUAUCCGGACUUAUUGGGUUUAAAGGGUGCGUAGGCUGAUAAAUCAGUCAGCGGUGAAAUUUACGGGCUUAACUUGUAGCUUGCCGUUGAAACUAUUUAUCUAGAGAUAUUUCGGCGUAUGCGGAAUGUAUCAAGUAGCGGUGAAAUGCAUAGAUAUGCUACAGAACACCAAUCGCGAAGGCAGCAUACGAGGCAUCAUCUGACGCUGAUGCACGAAGGCGUGGGGAUCAAACAGGAUUAGAUACCCUGGUAGUCCACGCAGUAAACGAUGAUUACUAGCUGUUUGCGAUACAAUGUAAGCGGCUGAGCGAAAGCGUUAAGUAAUCCACCUGGGGAGUACGUUCGCAAGAAUGAAACUUAAAGGAAUUGACGGGG